Molecule: ribosomal RNA, 235 nt
Filed under: uncultured Candidatus Saccharibacteria bacterium
Lineage: Bacteria; Candidatus Saccharimonadota
Description: partial 16S ribosomal RNA
Rfam family: Bacterial small subunit ribosomal RNA
Source: RNAcentral
AAAGCGAAUGGUGAAACCUGAGGGCUCAACCCUCAGACUAUUAUUCGAACUCGUCUGCUCGAGAGUAAGAGAGGUACCUGGAAUUUCUUGUGUAGGAGUGAAAUCCGUAGAUAUAAGAAGGAACACCAAUGGCGUAAGCAGGGUACUGGCUUAUUUCUGACGCUAAGGCACGAAAGCGUGGGGAGCGAACCGGAUUAGAUACCCGGGUAGUCCACGCCGUAAACGAUGGAUACUA